UUGGAGGGCAAGUCUGGUGCCAGCAGCCGCGGUAAUUCCAGCUCCGAAUAGCGUAUAUUAAAGUUGUUGCAGUUAAAAAGCUCGUAGUUGAAUUUCGGGAUUAGUACGUCGGUCGUGCCUUAGGUACGUACUGGUGUUACUGGUUCCUACCUUCUGACGAACCAUCAUGUCAUUAAUUUGGUGUGGUGGGGAAUCAGGACUGUUACUUUGAAAAAAUUAGAGUGUUUAAAGCAGGCUCGCGCUUGAAUACAUUAGCAUGGAAUAAUGAAAUAGGACG
Molecule: ribosomal RNA, 277 nt
Filed under: uncultured Glomus
Lineage: Eukaryota; Fungi; Glomeromycota; Glomeromycetes; Glomerales; Glomeraceae
Description: partial 18S ribosomal RNA
Rfam family: Eukaryotic small subunit ribosomal RNA
Source: RNAcentral